AACGAACCAAAAUAUUCCAAAACGACCAAAAACGCCUUUGAUAGUUUUUAAACACUGUCUUGGAUUGUCUUGGUUGACUAAACUCAUCUCCAGGGCUCCCCGACAAAAUAAAAUAACUGGAAAACAAAAUAACUGGAUUCUGAUUGGACGAGAGCAGUACUCCCUAAGAGAACCUAUUGCUAUUUACUUUUCUUUCCGAAGUUGACCCGAAGUCUUCUGACGAAUUUUGAAGUUGAUCCGAACGCUAACGAAAAUUUCCGAUGUCAAUUCAAAGACUUUUGGAGUUGAACCGAAGUUUUCCGAAGAUUUUCCAAUGUCAGCCCGAACACUUAGGAAGGUUUCGGAUGUUUACCUGGAGUAUUCUGAAGACGAACCAAGGAGGAAUUUUGUUGAGGUCGAGCGAAUUCCUAUACUUAUUUUUUUUCGUGAGCCUCGAAGCAGGAGGGGGGGUGGUGGUCAGCAUGAGGAGGGGUGUAUCUCCAAUUAUUCACGCUAUGAAAAUGUAGUGUAGUGUAUUUUAGUUGAGAAAAUGCCUUGUCUUAAAAUGAGUCUGCAAAGACAUACCAGCGAUUUGUUUUUUCACGUGAUCUGCUGUUUCCUCCUCCUCCUUGUCCCCCGAGGAGACUUCAGACUUUACGACUUCCUGAGGCAAAGGGAAGAGCCACGUGACUCCACGUGACGAAAUGUUGCGUUACAAUUACAAUUUGGGAGAAAAUACAGAUCCAAUCAUUACCACGCAUGCAUGCGUAGUCGAUGAUGGCGGCCUCACAGGAAGACCAAGAACAUAUCUCAAAAGUCAUUAUUUCAUGUGAUUCAUCUGACACAGAAAAUGAUCUUCCACAGUAUCUAUCGUCAGCAAGGCCACCAAAGCUGGAGGAAAGAGAUGCUGUUCAUAAGGUAAAACUUCAUUUGUAGGGAAAUUCUCAAAUGUUGUUUGUGUGAUUGUAAGGGCAAGAAUAUGAAGGUGCUAUUGCUUCCAUUUUCACUGUGGGAGACGCAUGGAUUUUCACCGACUCAAAGCCAGCCAUGAAGUUACGUUUAUUUGAUAUAAGCAACUGGAAGCUAAACCUCAGAAAUCGUUUUAUCCAUUUUGUAUGGCUGGUCAUUUUAGCAAGGGACAAAUUUUAUACCGUUAAAUAUCUGGUUGUGCCACAGUUUAAUUUAAUAGGGCAAAGGUCGCACUUUUUCCAUGAUGUCGCAGCAUUCUGCCAUAGGGGGGUCGAGGGGGCGCACAUUUGCAAAAUAUCUUCGUUCUCGAUUCCGUGUCAUGUACAGUUUGUACCAAUGAUUACUUCAAACAGCAACUCCGAGCUCUAAAAGCAACAUUUCAUCAGCUUAAGAAACAAGCUGACUAAUUUGGACCUUAGAAGUCUGCACACCAGGCGUCUUUGCACCAUUGCGAAACUAAUGAUGGAUGAUAAAUGAUCCCGGUGUUUCAGGUUUGAUUUAAUUUUUUUCCAUUUAAAUUUUUUGACUGGAGUUUUUUUACCAAUUCCCAUUUAAGUCACUUGGCAUGGAAGAUAUGGCCUGCUUUGGGGCAGAACACCAGUACGGUUUCCUUGACCACAUGUCUACUCAUGACACAAAGGUCGCACAUGUCGCGCAGAAUUUGUGUGGUAAACAUAGGUGCUAAAUGGGACCUCUGCUCAAUGAGAGUUAUCUUUCUGAUCUGAGCGUAACGGAAAUUAUAGCCAAAAUUCUAAGUACUGCUGAGGGAAACAGUUUUUUUUCGUUAAAAAAUUGAGUCCACUUUACGAAACAGCAACCAGAGGGCGUUAUCGUGCUGUGAUCUGAAAUAAGAACAAACAGGGUUUAGAAAGCCCGUUUCCGGUAGUUAGGUAAUCUGGCGGAAAACGGACUUUUCUCGCUUGCAGCACACCAUUUUUUACCGACCAGUUUUCUGGUCGGCGAGGGACCGCAAUGGGUUGAGAUGUAAGAGAAGCUAUAAACGCGGGUCUAACAAAGCUUGGCUUCAAGUAAAUUCGACGAGCACAGUUUUCACAGACAAUUUAGUCGAUCAGCUUUCUUUGUCCAGCCUCGCACCAACGAAAAAU
This is a long non-coding RNA of Orbicella faveolata, 2054 nucleotides long. NCBI's taxonomy places the organism in Eukaryota, Metazoa, Cnidaria, Anthozoa, Scleractinia, Merulinidae. The record is from RefSeq and is a predicted model, not a curated record.